AGUGAACGCUGGCGGUAGACCUAACACAUGCAAGUCGAACGGCAGCACAGUAAGAGCUUGCUCUUACGGGUGGCGAGUGGCGGACGGGUGAGGAAUACAUCGGAAUCUACUUUUUCGUGGGGGAUAACGUAGGGAAACUUACGCUAAUACCGCAUACGACCUACGGGUGAAAGCAGGGGAUCUUCGGACCUUGCGCGAUUGAAUGAGCCGAUGUCGGAUUAGCUAGUUGGCGGGGUAAAGGCCCACCAAGGCGACGAUCCGUAGCUGGUCUGAGAGGAUGAUCAGCCACACUGGAACUGAGACACGGUCCAGACUCCUACGGGAGGCAGCAGUGGGGAAUAUUGGACAAUGGGCGCAAGCCUGAUCCAGCCAUACCGCGUGGGUGAAGAAGGCCUUCGGGUUGUAAAGCCCUUUUAUUGGGAAAGAAAAGCAGCAGGUUAAUACCCCGCUGUUCUGACGGUACCCAAAGAAUAAGCACCGGCUAACUUCGUG
RNAcentral lists this ribosomal RNA (492 nucleotides) under uncultured bacterium. Its description in RNAcentral is "partial 16S ribosomal RNA". It matches the Rfam family "Bacterial small subunit ribosomal RNA", at positions 29 to 507 of the family's 1533-position model. The record is from RNAcentral.